RNAcentral lists this ribosomal RNA (466 nucleotides) under uncultured bacterium. RNAcentral's name for it is "bacterial SSU rRNA". It matches the Rfam family "Bacterial small subunit ribosomal RNA", at positions 917 to 1382 of the family's 1533-position model. The record is from RNAcentral.
GGGCCCGCACAAGCGGUGGAGCAUGUGGUUUAAUUCGACGCAACGCGCAGAACCUUACCAGCCCUUGACAUGCCCGUCGGGAGAUCCAGAGAUGGGUCUUUUCAUUUAGUUGGACGGUGCACAGGUGCUGCAUGGCUGUCGUCAGCUCGUGUCGUGAGAUGUUGGGUUAAGUCCCGCAACGAGCGCAACCCUCGCCUUCAGUUGCCAUCAUUUAGUUGGGCACUCUGAAGGGACUGCCGGUGACAAGCCGGAGGAAGGUGGGGAUGACGUCAAGUCCUCAUGGCCCUUACGGGCUGGGCUACACACGUGCUACAAUGGCGGUGACAAUGGGAUGCGAAAGCGCGAGCCGGAGCAAAUCCCAAAAAUCCGUCUCAGUUCGGAUUGCACUCUGCAACUCGAGUGCAUGAAGUCGGAAUCGCUAGUAAUCGCGCAACAGCAUGGCGCGGUGAAUACGUUCCCGGGCCUU